UGUGCUCACCACAUGGCUGCG
RNAcentral lists this small nuclear RNA (21 nucleotides) under Arabidopsis thaliana (thale cress). RNAcentral describes it as "snRNA_17256". Lineage: Eukaryota; Viridiplantae; Streptophyta; Magnoliopsida; Brassicales; Brassicaceae. The record is from RNAcentral.